This is a small nucleolar RNA of Dromiciops gliroides (monito del monte), 71 nucleotides long. Lineage: Eukaryota; Metazoa; Chordata; Mammalia; Microbiotheria; Microbiotheriidae. The record is from RefSeq and is a predicted model, not a curated record.
UGGGAAGUGAUGCAUCUUUCUUGGCCUGAAUGUUCCUUGAAGGUUCGUUGUAUUCAUACUGUCUGAUCCCA